AUGGCAAAGUGAUGAAAUGGAGAUGCCAGUCCACCCAGUGCCAAAGGUGGCAUGGGCUUUACCAUCAGCUGGCCAAGGGAGCUGCCUUUAACCCACCGAUUGGCCUUUCUCCUUUUAAACCACGGGAGAUGCAUUAUCCAGCAGCCACAUCUUGGCUGCAUUUAAAAGCAGGGGAAUAAAAAGCAGAUUCCCCAGCAGAGUUGCUUGCCUGCAAAAUUCAGUUUGUGUCCCGGUCUGGCUCUUUUUGCAUCUGACAGAAGUUAUCUUCCCGUAUGUGCUCUUCAGCUGCCUGAGAGCUGUGUCCUGGGAUGACUCCUCCCGCAGAUGGAAAGUGGACUUAAAUUUUUCCUUUAAUACAGGCYUUUCCACUCCCUGCUUUUUUCUUCCCUCAUUGACAUCAGUCUUGACRUUUGGUGAUACCUUUCCCGGUCCCUUUGAAGAUGCCCCGUGGACCACGCAGGCUGCUCGAGGGGAUGUGAAGGAGCUUGCCCAACACCAUGUGCAUCAAGGCCACAGACCUCGUGUUGCACACACAUGUAUUGACUCAGGCAAACACACAGAUAUAUGUUGAUAUACAGAGGGGGAAAAAAAGAAAACACGGAAUGAAGGUGGGAUUUUGCUGCCUACUCAGAAAGCACAACUGGAACAAGGGACAUCUGCCUAAUUCUGCUACAGCUUCUGGGAAUAAAUUCAACUAGUUGCCCAUGACUCCUCACUGUGUGUCUGGGCUGAAGAACCAGCAUCUGGAAAACAGGUACAGAGUCUCCAGCUACACUAGCCCAAAGCUAACUUAAUGGUUAGCUUCUCCGGUGACUGCUACAUUAAGGCUCUUCCUCUUCCCCUCUGCUUCAGGAGAAACAAUUUCAGUUGAGCACAAGGAAUGCUGAGAGGCAAAAGGCAGAACACUUGCAAAUAUGUGAAGGGUUUUGCUGAUCAGAGUUCAUCGCUCCAGUUAGUCAUUAUUUCAUAGCUCAGGAGAAAUGCAGCCUCGGUGUUCUCUAAGUGAUGGGCGCGGGGUAGCAAUCAUAGGGGCACCGGUGAACUUCCUGAUAUUAAGACAGCUAAAGUGCUGUUCAGCUGUAAUCCAAUCAACAAGGCACUACUCUUAAGCCAGCAGCACAGCAAGGCAAGCUGAGCUGAUGAUCAUUCARGGCAAGCUACCUGCAACUCGGUGAGAACCAAUAAUAAUAAUAAAAAGAAUUCACCUAUCAGAAAUUUGGGGAUAAAGGUCAAGAUAUUUUGUGAUGUGUGAUUAUAGGUGGUCAUUGGUGGUAAACACAGGAUUGGUGGGAAGGGGAGGCAGCUGAUGAGCAAGAGAUCAUGGUGUGCUUGGGGCAGACAAAAGAAGAGCCAGGAGGAAAUGCAUUUUUUUGAGCAGAAAGAUUAAUUAGUGAAUGGAGCUGAUUUUUUGCAGCACAGAACAUGUUUUCUUUGUAAAUGGACCUGAAAAGAACCAAGAUAGAGUUGCUGGGCUAUGCCUGUCUCCUGGUUUGUUACUGGGAAUCUGUGUCUUAUUCCCUAGAGAUGUAAGGGGGCUACAGUGUCCUUAGUCCUAUUGGUAAAUGUGUGCCCACUUGAAAAAUAAAAUAAAAAAUUAAUAUAUGGGAAACUUUCCCUUUCACCUUUCCAUGAUAAUGUAUGGCUUGUUAAAUAGUUUCCAUCCAGAUGACUGGGAGCCCUCACUGAGGACAAAAACU
Molecule: long non-coding RNA, 1697 nt
Organism: Nothoprocta perdicaria
Lineage: Eukaryota; Metazoa; Chordata; Aves; Tinamiformes; Tinamidae
Exons: 2
Source: RefSeq, a predicted model, not a curated record